Molecule: ribosomal RNA, 654 nt
Filed under: uncultured archaeon
Lineage: Archaea
Description: bacterial SSU rRNA
Rfam family: Archaeal small subunit ribosomal RNA
Source: RNAcentral
GCCUAAAGCGUCCGUAGCCGGCUCUGUAAGUUUUCGGUUAAAUCCAUAUGCUCAACAUAUGGGCCGCCGGGAAUACUGCAUAGCUAGGGAGUGGGAGAGGUAGACGGUACUCCGUAGGAAGGGGUAAAAUCCUUUGAUCUAUGGAUGACCACCUGUGGCGAAGGCGGUCUACCAGAACACGUUCGACGGUGAGGGAUGAAAGCUGGGGGAGCAAACCGGAUUAGAUACCCGGGUAGUCCCAGCUGUAAACUAUGCAAACUCAGUGAUGCAUUGGCUUGUGGCCAGUGCAGUGCCGCAGAGAAGUCGUUAAGUUUGCCGCCUGGGAAGUACGUACGCAAGUAUGAAACUUAAAGGAAUUGGCGGGGGAGCACCACAAGGGGUGAAGCCUGCGGUUCAAUUGGAGUCAACGCCAGAAAUCUUACCCGGAGAGACAGCAGAAUGAAGGUCAGGCUGAAGACUUUACCAGACAAGCUGAGAAGUGGUGCAUGGCCGUCGCCAGCUCGUGCCGUGAGGUGUCCUGUUAAGUCAGGUAACGAGCGAGAUCCUUGCCUCUAGUUGCUACCAUUACUCUCAGGAGUUGUGGGGCGAAUUAGCGGGACUGCCGUAGUUAAUACGGAGGAAGGAGAGGGCCACGGCAGGUCAGUAUGCCCCGAA